CCAUUAGAAGGUCAUUUGUAAUUUUCACUAGUGCUGUCUCUGUGCUAUGGUGCACUCUAAAUCCUGACUGAUAAUCUUCAAAUAAAUGAUUGUUCUGUAGAAAGUCACACAGCUGACUGGCAACUACUUUCUCGAGUAUUUUGGAGGUAAAGGGAAGGUUAGAUAUAGGUCUACAGUUGGCUAGGACCUCUGGAUCAAGAGUGGGCUUUUUAAGAAGAGGUUUAAUUACAGCUACUUUAAAGGACUGUGGUACAUAGCCUGUUAGUAAAGACACAUUGAUCAUAUCCAGUAAAGAGGUGCUAACUAGAGGUAAAACUUCUUUUAGCAGUCUAGUUGGAAUAGGGUCUAGGAGACAGGUAGAUGAUUUAGAUGAGGAGAUCAGUGAGGUUAAUUUGUGGAGAUCGAUAGGAGAAAAGCAGUCUAAAUAUAUAUCAGGUUGUACAGCUGUUUCUAAGGUUCCUAAGUUUGAGGAUAAAUUGGUACCAGUUGACGGUAGGAGGUGAUUAAUUUUGUCUCUAAUAGUUAUGAGCUUAAGGGUAAAU
Long non-coding RNA from Sebastes umbrosus (honeycomb rockfish), 542 nucleotides. RefSeq lists it as uncharacterized. The transcript has 3 exons. The record is from RefSeq and is a predicted model, not a curated record. NCBI's taxonomy places the organism in Eukaryota, Metazoa, Chordata, Actinopteri, Perciformes, Sebastidae.